AGUGAACGCUGGCGGUAGGCCUAACACAUGCAAGUCGAACGGCAGCACAGUAAGAGCUUGCUCUUACGGGUGGCGAGUGGCGGACGGGUGAGGAAUACAUCGGAAUCUACUUUUUCGUGGGGGAUAACGUAGGGAAACUUACGCUAAUACCGCAUAUGACCUACGGGUGAAAGCAGGGGAUCUUCGGACCUUGCGCGAUUGAAUGAGCCGAUGUCGGAUUAGCUAGUUGGCGGGGUAAAGGCCCACCAAGGCGACGAUCCGUAGCUGGUCUGAGAGGAUGAUCAGCCACACUGGAACUGAGACACGGUCCAGACUCCUACGGGAGGCAGCAGUGGGGAAUAUUGGACAAUGGGCGCAAGCCUGAUCCAGCCAUCCCGCGUGGGUGAAGAAGGCCUUCGGGUUGUAAAGCCCUUUUGUUGGGAAAGAAAAGCAGCAGGUUAAUACCCCGCUGUUCUGACGGUACCCAAAGAAUAAGCACCGGCUAACUUCGUG
Molecule: ribosomal RNA, 492 nt
Filed under: uncultured bacterium
Lineage: Bacteria
Description: partial 16S ribosomal RNA
Rfam family: Bacterial small subunit ribosomal RNA
Source: RNAcentral